This is a non-coding RNA of Caenorhabditis elegans, 21 nucleotides long. The record is from Ensembl. NCBI's taxonomy places the organism in Eukaryota, Metazoa, Nematoda, Chromadorea, Rhabditida, Rhabditidae.
UACUAUACUUCUCCAUUCUGA